UUUCCGUAGGUGAACCUGCGGAAGGAUCAUUACCGUAUAACCUAGGUGAGAGGGCUUUCUCUGACCCGAAAGCUCGUGCACGCCCGAGUGGCCUCCCACAGAUUGCUCUCCCGCCUAUGUACACCCCCGCGUCGAUCCCCACUUUGCAUGUUCGGGUUCUGACCUAAGUGUUCACACUAACAACAAACGCUCUGUAGACUGUAUCUUUUGUUUUUGCGGUCACACAAUCGAAACACCUUUCAACAACGGACAUCUUGGCUCCCGCAUCGCUUAAGCACC
RNAcentral lists this unclassified non-coding RNA (279 nucleotides) under plant metagenome. Its description in RNAcentral is "partial contains small subunit ribosomal RNA, internal transcribed spacer 1, and 5.8S ribosomal RNA". The record is from RNAcentral.